This 504-nucleotide long non-coding RNA is filed under the name Medicago truncatula (barrel medic). RNAcentral describes it as "long non-coding RNA (MTRU_LNC006797)". Lineage: Eukaryota; Viridiplantae; Streptophyta; Magnoliopsida; Fabales; Fabaceae. The record is from RNAcentral.
ACAAUGCAUAAUAUAUGCAAGGUCCGGGAUUCAAACCCCAGACACCACAAAAAAAAAUGACUUUGUAACUUUAGACAAUUUUCUGACAAAAAAAAAAAAAAAACUGGUCAAAUUUUUUGCAAUGUGACUUAAAACUCCACAUUAUUUUGGGGUUUCAUUUUCAUUCUUGUUCAGCACACAUGACAUCUCAAAUGUAUUUAGUCUUGCAAUUUCCAGUUACUGACAACCUUAGCUAUAUAAUACAGAAAGAUUAAUUCACCUGCUGCAGGAAAAUGCUACUAUAAAAUCGUAGCAGAGGCUUUGUUUCGAAUAGGAUCAUGUCAUGACAUCUUCAUUGUUUCAAUUUGGCUGCCCAUUCUUCUAAAUCAUGCAGAAUUGAAAGGCUUGGGCAAGCAAAGCUUCUCAACCAUUCCUUCCUCAAUUGUUGACUUUAUGGGUGUAACUUUGAUUUCAUACAACUCUGGCCACAGUUUUCCGGUCACUGAAACCAAGAACAAAAGUCAC